This 715-nucleotide small RNA is filed under the name Pongo abelii (Sumatran orangutan). RNAcentral's name for it is "retained intron". The record is from RNAcentral. Lineage: Eukaryota; Metazoa; Chordata; Mammalia; Primates; Hominidae.
GGAAGAUGGUGCCCCGGCCUUGGAGUAGCUCCCCAGGCCCGGGCGCUCGCCGCCUUAGUACCUGGAGUGACCCAGGUAGAUAACAAGUCCGGUUUCCUGCAGAAGAGGCCUCAUCGCCAGCACCCUGGCAUCCUAAAGCUGCCGCACGUGCGGCUGCCACAGGCACUGGCUAACGGUGCCCAGUUACUGCUACUUGGUGAGUAACGGCGGGAGAGCGAGAAGAAACGGGACUGGACCUACAUGCAAGUGAUUCCGCUUUUCAUCUUUGGCCCACAGAGAGCGCUGGGCCCACUAUGGAGAAUCAGGUGCAAACACUGACCAGUUAUCUCUGGAGCAGACAUUUGCCUAUAGAGCCAGAGGAGUUGCAAAGACGGGCUAGGCAUCUUGAGAAAAAAUUCCUGGAAAACCCAGACUUAUCUCAGACAGAGGAGAAACUUCGUGGAGCAGUGCUACAUGCACUACGUAAAACUACCUACCAUUGGCAAGAACUGAGCUACACUGAGGGACUGAGCCUGGUGUAUAUGGCAGCAAGACUGGAUGGUGGCUUUGCAGCAGUCUCCAGAGCAUUCCAUGAGAUCCGGGCUCGAAAUCCAGCAUUUCAGCCACAGACUUUGAUGGACUUUGGCUCAGGUACUGGUUCUGUCACCUGGUGAGUAACUUUCUUCAGCCCUAUCUUGGUCAAUUUUAGCUCUAGAAAGCCAUACUUACACCACUC